Long non-coding RNA from Oreochromis aureus, 787 nucleotides. RefSeq lists it as uncharacterized. The transcript has 3 exons. Lineage: Eukaryota; Metazoa; Chordata; Actinopteri; Cichliformes; Cichlidae. The record is from RefSeq and is a predicted model, not a curated record.
UUUUGUAUCUUUGAGGUUCAUAAUUGUCUCUGUGGGAUUGGCAGCACUUUCAAUAACAGCUGUGACAGUCAACAUGUGGACAAAAACUAAAGGGAAAAAAACACAGAUGGAUAAAAACACAGUACAUUAUGAUAGAGAUGAAGAUGUUCCAGUCAACUAUGAAAAUGUGGGAAACUCUGCUGUUUCAAUCAGACUGCACUGAUCAACAACUUGCUGAUAAAAUCACUGCUGUUAUAUUAUCAGAAUCAUCUCAUCUGGUUUUACACAUUAAAUAUCUUAGAUAUGAUUAGUCCAUUUUGGCUUCCAUGUUAAUCUAUGUUAUGUCUAUGUUAAUGUAUUCAGAGCUGUCAGCCCUUCUGUGACUGAAUGAUGGCUGUCGGAUACUCUGGCUGCUGCUCGCCUCCGGCUGGAUGCUGCAGCAUGACAAAUUCAUGACCAGGUUCAUCCUGGGAUUUAACAUAAUGAAGAGCAGCCGAAGCCAGUUACGCUUCACUAAUGCUGGGGUUAUUACUUGUUAAAACCAUAUCUUCCUGAAUGCAGUCAUGUCAUUUAAACCAACUGUGUGUGUGUGUGUGUGUGUGUGUGUGUGUGUGUGUGUGUGUUUCAUGGUAUUUUUGCUUUAGUCUGAUUAAAGAUGUUUUUUAUGUCCUAACUAUCUUGUAUUUUGUCCAAUGUACAUUUAUAACAUGUCUUUAAUGAUCUUUAGAAUCUGUAUAAAUAUUCUGUUUCGUUUAUGAUAAUUUGAUCUCAAUAUUAAAACAAAUUUCUAUCCAGUUUCAGUGUUUGC